Molecule: long non-coding RNA, 4208 nt
Organism: Alligator mississippiensis (American alligator)
Lineage: Eukaryota; Metazoa; Chordata; Crocodylia; Alligatoridae
Exons: 2
Source: RefSeq, a predicted model, not a curated record
AGCUGAAGGGAAUAGAGCCUUUAGGAAGGAAGGGUUCAGAGACACUACAGCUAUUGGGUGUGCUACCCUUAGGGCUAAUGGGGCACCAGGAGCCCAUAAGGUACCCUUAUCUACAGGCACCCAGUAUUAGAGAAGGAGUUUUGUUCUUUUAAAGGGGUGGAGCAUGCCUUGCACUUUGUAUUACGUUAUAGCUCGGGGGCUUUUGUUUGGUUGCUGUUGUUUGUUUGUUUGCUGUCUGAUAACACUGGUGGUCUGGGUGAGGCUAUUUGGGGAAAGAGGAGGCCUCAUUGGGGACCUACUACAGUGUGAGGGCCCAGGUGCCACUGAGGCAUAGAGACAGGGCUGCAGAGGGCCCAGGUGCCACUGAGGCUAAAGCACAGCAAGGCCUAGACUGGACAGUGUCAAUGCCAUCUGUGAGGCUUGGGGCAUGGUAAAGGGGUGGUUGGCACCACACAACCCAUAAGGCUGAGAGGCUCAGGCACCAUACAACAUAACAUGGUAUGCCAAGGGCUCUAUGAACCACAGGGUUCUGUAAGAUCUAGCCAGACCGUGUCUAAACCCAAGGAUCAAGGGCAGCCUCCCUAUAUCAAUUAUACCAACAAGAUGUGGUGGGUGAGAUAGAAAAUGCCUGUAGGGCAAGACUAGCAUGGUUAAGGAGCCUAGGGGUAACACAGCCACCCCUAGGGACCCCACCUUGCUACACCAUCCUAUAACAGGCUGGCUUGCAGCAGACUGCACACUUUAUGCUGGAGGAGUCUGUAGGCUUGUGGGAGACUACAGCCAGCUGAAGGCAGUUAGGAGUAAUUGCAGGCUGCCUAGAAGAAUAGGACCAGCUGCAGAGGAUAAUUAGCUGGCCAGAGGAAGUUAAAGGCUCCUAAGGAGAGCAGAGGGGCUCAAGAGAGAGUGGUUAGUGGUGGCAGAACUGAGCUAAGGGCUCUUCUAGGGUCUGGCAAAAGAUUCAAGGCUGUAAGGGUGGAGGCCAAGGUUCCCUCUAAGGUGUGCAUGGCUGUGCUUGAGUAAAAGGCUGGCCACCCCCAAACUCUUCAGGCUGCACACCCACUAGGAAUGGAGCGUGGGACACUUACUAAAGAUAAUCUCUUCCUCAAGGUGAUGCAGGGAACGGAGUGGUUUCCUGGAGCCUGUGCCAGGCCCCAGCCCCUGCUGCCUGCCCCGGAUGAAGUGAGGAGCUUGCCUUCAGUAAGCGUCCCACACUGCACCGAAAGGGGGAAGUGGGUCUGAAGUGGCACGCUCAUGGAGGCAAUAGCGCUAUGAAGCCAGGAGAGAGAAGGAAGUUCUGCACCACAGUUUAAGGGAGCAGCAUGAAGCUGGAAGUACCUUCUUGGAGUCUGGUGAGAGACUUCAGGAUUGUGAGUUGCCCUUCAUGGACUGUUUUGAGGACUAGUUUACAUUGAUUCUUGUAUGGCAAGGGCGCCCAGGAAUAAGUGUAUGGUGUGAGACUUAAGAUAACUAGUUAAGCUAAGCAUUAACCCUGAACCUGCUACAUACACCUAGACCAUCCCUGACCAGUGGCUGUCCAAUAUUCUUGAAUGCCUCCAGUGAUGGAGAGGCCACAAUUGCCCUUGGCAGUCUAUUCUGCUGCUUUACUGUUCUAACAGUGAAAACAAUUUUCUGGAUCUCCAAGCUAAACUUUGAUGCAACUUCAAGCUGUUGGUCUGCACCUUCCUUUUUUCAGCAAGAGAGAAAAGUGCUCUACUUCUUCUUUAUGGCAACCCUUCAAGUAUUUCAAGACUGCUGUUAUGUCCCCUCCUAAGCACCUUUUUCACAAGCUGAAUGUGCCUAGCUCCUUCAGCCUCUUCCUUUGUUACCUUCCAAGCCCUUGAUCAUUUUGUUGGCUGCCUCGGAACCCUCUAAUUUCUAACUUUUCCAUGUCCUCUUUAAAAAGUGGAGCCCAGAACUGCACACAGUGUUCCAGGUGAGAUGUAACCAGUCCCAGGUAGAAGCACUACUACCUUCCAUGUCUUGCACUUAAUGCUUCUAUUGAUGCAUCCCAAAACUUCAUUCACUUUUUGUGCAUCUGCAUCACACUGCAGACUCGUACUGAAUGUGUGGUCUACCAAGACUCCCAAGUCCUCUUCCAUAGAGCUGCUCUCUAAAUUACUUUGUAUUGGAGUUCUUGAUUAUUCCUCUGCAGCAGGGCUGAAUUAUGACAUGCUGGGGCCCUAAGCUAUGUCAAGCUCAAGAGGCCCCAUAGCAUUACCAAAAAAAAUGUAUUAUUCUAACGGGACAAUGAAAAUAGAAAUAUUAAAGCUUUUUAUAUUUGCAUAUAUACACAGAUGAAGAUGCAACAAAAAAACUAAUAAUCUAACUAAAACAUACAUCUUACAAAAAGCCUAUUUGCAUUAUGAAAUACUUUCAAGUUAAAAUACUUUAUGAUUUCUUGGCAUAUAUGAAAACUUUUAAUCUACAGCAACACAAGAGCAGUUGCACAGAUCAGCACUUAUGAAAUGGAAGCAUCAGUACAACCUGUAUUAUGUCUAUUUCCACGUCACCUCAAAUUUUAAAACAUUUUCUUUCAUGACUUUUGGAGAGCAAAGUCACUGAUGUCCUCAAGUGAUAAGGUAUGAAGUUUAUCACUCUCUAUCUACAUAAUGCUUAGUGUAGACACCUUUUUCUUGCAGCGUUGUUGUUUGCAGUUUUUUCAGCUGUGAAAGUGACUUAAUGAUCUUCUCCUGAGCAGUUUGUUACCAUUAGACUCCAAAAGAGCCACAAUAUUGCUUCUACCCUAGGGAAAGCCAACUGAAUCUUGCCUUGGAUGAUGACUUGAUACAGGUCCUGGUGGCAUAGAUGUCCUUUAUCUGAAUUAUUUUGCUUUAUAUAAGCAUGGGAGUGCUUUAUUUCUCCAACGAGGUUAACAUCAACAUAGGGUAGUCUUUCAUUUGAAGCUUUACACCUUCACACUGCUGCUUUUCCAAGGCAUCUAUGUCAACCAAAAACGAUUUUGCAAAAUUUUUGUCUAUGACUGUUCUUUUCUUCAAGUGGGUUUCAAGUGCAUCCAUCAUAGGAAUAAAGGAUUUCACUUGAAACUUGUCUCUUGAAGAAAGUGUUUCAUCAGCAUUAGGUGCAUCACCAUCAUUGAUUUUGUUUUUGGUUUGUGUUUUUUUUUUUUUUUUUUUUUGUUUGUUUGUUUGUUUGUUUUUUUGUUUUCUCUCAUUCUCUUCCUUUUAUUCACACACUUGUAGUCUACAUCAGGCAGACUUUCUUUUGCUUUGAAUUCAAUUUCAUCAAAACUUUCUCUGGGUUUCUUUCAAGAAAUGAGAGCGAUGUGCAAAGCUUUGCACAUGUACUAAGGGCUAUCUGUGUAUCCUGUAGGGCCUUGCUGGUUUCCUGAAACUGAUCUAACAAAUGAUUCUAAAGUUCUAACAGGAACACACUUUAGUUCCUCCAUUUCUUUUUUUUUCUCUUGAAGAAUGCCAGCUUCUCUCCUUGUAUCACUCACAUUCAUACUGAUGAAGUAAAAAAGGUAAGAGCAUCAGUAAUUGAAUCAUAUAACUCAGCUGUGGCCUUUGCAACUAGGUGGUAAGCAUAUACAGAGAGAAGUUUUGGUACUGUGGAAUCAGGACCCAAAAGUGAUUUGAGUACUGUCCAUCAUUUUGUAGAGGCAGAGAAGAAUGUGUAUAUUUGUUGUACAACAGCCAAAAAAAAAAAAAAAAUAUUUACUGCAAUCAACUGCAGCUCACCCAACAAGAUUCAGUGGAUGUCCAGCGCAUGGAAUAUACAUAUAGCAUACUUUUUUUUUUUUCCUCUAGAAGUUUUUGCUGCAUGACAUUAUACCUUCCUGCUAUGUUGGCUGCGUUAUCUUCUGACUGUCCUCUGCACUUGCUGAAGUCAACUUUGCAGUCAUUGCCUAGAUAAUCCAGUACCAUGUUGGCCAUACUUUCACCACUAUGAUUUUUCUAAUUGAAGGAAAGCUAGAAAGCGUUCAAUGGGAAAACCAUUAUUGGGUGACACGCAUCUUACAAUAUGAUGCUGCCGCCUCCAUUAAGCACCCCCUGCUAUUGCUUUGUGUGUGGCUGGUGCUCUAGAACCAGCCGCCAGUAAUACUCAUUUUCCCCCCCCCCCUUCCCAACUCCCUGACCAGCUGCAGUGCUGGUUUAAAAAAAACAGCAUUUUCAAAUUUCUGGCAUGUGCUCAGUCCCGAGCACGCCAGAUUUGUGAGGUUUGACGGUAUUUUUUUUUUUCCAUAUUUA